GGACUGUAGAGAAGGAAGGCUCCGGGUAAGAUUAGUGGAGUACAGAGGGAAAGGAAGAGUCAGUAUGUACAGACGUAUUAAAUAAUUUCAAUAUCUGAGUGUAGAAAGAUCUUAUCUUCAGGGAAGAAAGUCAAUAUUUAGAAUACCUUUGCCAAGUAAAACUUGAGACAUGCUUUCAAAAUCUAGUUUGUACAUACUUCCACAUAAAUUCACUGGACCAAAUCUUUCUAUAAAUGACUAUAUUCUGUAUUAUAGUUAUAAUUUGAUUAAACCUGGAAUUUCAAAGAAAUACUACAAAUUGAAAUAAUGCCUAAAUUAGCUAAUAUCAAUUUUUAAAUGCACUCUCUAUAAAGACUAGUGAAACAACCUCAGCUGAAGUUAAUUUAGAAAUAGAAAACUAUACAUAAAUAUAAAAACAAAUCUCUAGUAUUAAAUACACAAACAACUCAAGGAGAGAAGAGAUUCCUAGGAAAUGUUUCUAUAAAUAGUUUGACAUUAUUACACAAUCUGCUCUGCAUCUCUCGUAAUGGAAACAUUGCUACAGGUGAUUGAAGAAAUAA
Molecule: long non-coding RNA, 560 nt
Filed under: Bos taurus (domestic cattle)
Lineage: Eukaryota; Metazoa; Chordata; Mammalia; Artiodactyla; Bovidae
Description: long non-coding RNA NONBTAT009132
Source: RNAcentral